Molecule: long non-coding RNA, 787 nt
Organism: Mustela erminea (ermine)
Lineage: Eukaryota; Metazoa; Chordata; Mammalia; Carnivora; Mustelidae
Exons: 3
Source: RefSeq, a predicted model, not a curated record
GUAGCGUUUACUUUAAAAAAAAAAACAAAAAAAAACUUUAAAAAGUCAAUAAAUAAAAUGAGGAAACUGGAGAUCAGAGAAAUUGAGUAGCUUGCUGGAGGUCACACAGCUAAUACAGAGCAGAACCAAGAUUUGAACUGGGUGGCUUGGCUCCUGAGCUUCAGCUUUGGGCUGAGGUCCAGUGGCUAAUAUGACCACACAGAGCUCACAGCCCUCCCUGGCCUCCUGCCCCAGACCUCUCUAGCGGCCACACAGAGAAUCACUGAAAGCUAGCUGGUCAGGUAGCAAAUUAAAAGAAGACAGCAUGAAAAGUACGACGGUCACUUGAGACUUGUCUCAGUCCCUUCUCUGAUUUCAAGGUGAGGUCGUAGGGUCUAGGAUCUCUUGAUUCCAAUCACUUUCAUUGCACUUGGGAUGACUGUACCUGCUAACUGGUCCCUUACAGGUUUACAGAAUCAGGUCCAGAGCAGGGAGCACUAGUCUGGGAGUCUGAAGAACCGGGCUCUCAACUGGCUCUGCUUCUAACCAGCGGGGUUAGCUCUGCAAGUUUCCAGCUUCUCCGCGCCCCAUGGAUCUUACUUGCACCCAGGCGGGUAGAUUAGAUCAGUGUCACAAAUCCCAGGUGUGGGGGCCAAAGUGACCCCCCCCCCCACAGGUUUUGCUUAGUAUGCACGGUGAUUUUCUUUUUUGUUUAACUGCUGACACUUAAAACAGGGAGUGUUCACAUAGAAGCCCGGGGCCUCCGGAAUCUAGCGAAGACCAGGUAGAUCAUAAAGGAAUUGAACGC